AUCUAGAUGACGAGUCCCAAAUAGGACUGAAUGAGCGUCCUAUAU
RNAcentral lists this non-coding RNA (45 nucleotides) under Schistosoma margrebowiei. The record is from RNAcentral. Lineage: Eukaryota; Metazoa; Platyhelminthes; Trematoda; Strigeidida; Schistosomatidae.